This is a long non-coding RNA of Hibiscus syriacus, 252 nucleotides long. RefSeq lists it as uncharacterized. The record is from RefSeq and is a predicted model, not a curated record. NCBI's taxonomy places the organism in Eukaryota, Viridiplantae, Streptophyta, Magnoliopsida, Malvales, Malvaceae. The transcript has 2 exons.
AUUUCUCACCUGCUUUUCCUCCUCACUCCUCCUUCUCUUACUUUCCGUGUCCUAUUUUUCAACAGGUAGCUUUGAUGUUUCGGAGAAAGAAGAACGACAUCGAUUAUAGAGGUCCGGAAACACACUCUUCAGUCCCUCCGCCGGAUUAUUUUCACGGUCUUCGUCAUAUGAUUCACCGGAAAACUGAUUUGUCAUCUCUUCAAUCUUCCAAGAGCUUAAGGGUUGGUGAUAAUAAUAAAGGAAGAAAUGUGA